AUGACUUGGCACACACCCACCAACGACCAACACAGCCCCGGGCCCCACCCACGAUGCACACACACCCACGCCCAACCCACGCACACACACCCACGUUGGAUCCCAUCUCUCUCGUCUUCCUCGAUCCCAUUUCUCCACCCCACGCCGCCGCCAGAUUCCGGCGAUCCCCGCGGUUCCCCACCACCUAGCUCUCCUCCCCGAGGUCACCUCUCCCCGCUCACCAUCUCCACUGUCCGGUUUCUCUCCUCGCCCAGGAGAGCCACGCCCAGGCACUGGUGGUGGUGCGUCGCGAGGAGGCCCCAGCGGCGUCGAGCUGCUGUUGCUGUGGGCACAAAGACGUCGGCGUGGUCAGGAUGGUCGCAGCCCUUCAAGAUUCUCAAUGGCGGCGUCUCGGCGCUGAUGGCGGAGUCGACGGCGAGCAUCGACGGGUACAUGGCGUCGGGAUACCGGAGGGUGGCUGGCGUGCAGCUCUGCAUCAAGCACCUCAAGCCCGCCCGCAUCGGCGACCGCAUCGAGGCCAAGGCGAACCCCAUCCGGUACCUCGAUCCCGACGCGUACUUGGACAUGGACCAGCUGCUGGACGCGGUGCAUUGGAUCCGGUAG
Molecule: ribosomal RNA, 603 nt
Filed under: Triticum aestivum (bread wheat)
Lineage: Eukaryota; Viridiplantae; Streptophyta; Magnoliopsida; Poales; Poaceae
Description: partial small subunit ribosomal RNA
Source: RNAcentral